RNAcentral lists this ribosomal RNA (450 nucleotides) under uncultured bacterium. Its description in RNAcentral is "bacterial SSU rRNA". It matches the Rfam family "Bacterial small subunit ribosomal RNA", at positions 340 to 786 of the family's 1533-position model. The record is from RNAcentral.
UACGGGAGGCAGCAGUGGGGAAUAUUGCACAAUGGGCGCAAGCCUGAUGCAGCCAUGCCGCGUGUAUGAAAAGGCUUCGGUUGUAAGUACUUCUAGUCGUGAGGAAGGUGUUAAGGUUAAUAACCUUAGCAAUUGACGUUAGCGACAGAAGAAGCACCGGCUAACUCCGUGCCAGCAGCCGCGGUAAUACGGAGGGUGCGAGCGUUAAUCGGAAUUACUGGGCGUAAAGGGCACGCAGGCGGUUAAUUAAGUUGGAUGUGAAAUCCCCGGGCUUAACCUGGGAAUGGCAUUCAAGACUGGUUAGCUAGAGUCUUGUAGAGGGGGUAGAAUUCCAUGUGUAGCGGUGAAAUGCGUAGAGAUGUGGAGGAAUACCGGUGGCGAAGGCGGCCCCCUGGACAAAGACUGACGCUCAUGUGCGAAAGCGUGGGGAGCAAACAGGGAUUAGAUACC